UGGAUCCAGACUUUGAUUCUGGCUCAGGAUGAACGCUGGCGGCGUGCCUAAUACAUGCAAGUCGAACGAAACUUCUUUAUCACCGAGUGCUUGCACUCACCGAUGAAGAGUUGAGUGGCGAACGGGUGAGUAACACGUGGGCAACCUGCCCGAAAGAGGGGGAUAACACUUGGAAACAGGUGCUAAUACCGCAUUACCAUGAACACCGCAUGGUGUUUAUGUGAAAGGUGGUUUCGGCUACCGCUUUCGGAUGGGCCCGCGGCGCAUUAGCUAGUUAGUGGGGUAAAGGCUUACCAAGGCAAUGAUGCGUAGCCGAACUGAGAGGUUGAUCGGCCACAUUGGGACUGAGACACGGCCCAAACUCCUACGGGAGGCAGCAGUAGGGAAUCUUCCACAAUGGGCGAAAGCCUGAUGGAGCAACGCCGCGUGGGUGAAGAAGGUCUUCGGAUCGUAAAACCCUGUUGUCAGAGAAGAAAGUGCAUGAGAGUAACUGUUCAUGUUUCGACGGUAUCUGACCAAAAAGCCACGGCUAACUACGUGCCAGCAGCCGCGGUAAUACGUAGGUGGCAAGCGUUAUCCGGAUUUAUUGGGCGUAAAGGGAACGCAGGCGGUCUUUUAAGUCUGAUGUGAAAGCCUUCGGCUUAACCGGAGUAGUGCAUUGGAAACUGGGAGACUUGAGUGCAGAAGAGGAGAGUGGAACUCCAUGUGUAGCGGUGAAAUGCGUAGAUAUAUGGAAGAACACCAGUGGCGAAAGCGGCUCUCUGGUCUGUAACUGACGCUGAGGUUCGAAAGCGUGGGUAGCAAACAGGAUUAGAUACCCUGGUAGUCCACGCCGUAAACGAUGAAUGCUAAGUGUUGGAGGGUUUCCGCCCUUCAGUGCUGCAGUUAACACAAUAAGCAUCCCGCCUGGGGAGUACGACCGCAAGGUUGCAACUCAAAGGAAUUGACGGA
RNAcentral lists this ribosomal RNA (951 nucleotides) under uncultured Bacillota bacterium. RNAcentral's name for it is "bacterial SSU rRNA". It matches the Rfam family "Bacterial small subunit ribosomal RNA", at positions 1 to 917 of the family's 1533-position model. Lineage: Bacteria; Bacillati; Bacillota. The record is from RNAcentral.